RNAcentral lists this ribosomal RNA (497 nucleotides) under uncultured bacterium. Its description in RNAcentral is "partial 16S ribosomal RNA". It matches the Rfam family "Bacterial small subunit ribosomal RNA", at positions 28 to 507 of the family's 1533-position model. The record is from RNAcentral.
GAUGAACGCUGGCGGCGUGCCUAACACAUGCAAGUCGAGCGAACAGACGAGGAGCUUGCUCCUCUGACGUUAGCGGCGGACGGGUGAGUAACACGUGGAUAACCUACCUAUAAGACUGGGAUAACUUCGGGAAACCGGAGCUAAUACCGGAUAAUAUAUUGAACCGCAUGGUUCAAUAGUGAAAGACGGUUUUGCUGUCACUUAUAGAUGGAUCCGCGCCGCAUUAGCUAGUUGGUAAGGUAACGGCUUACCAAGGCAACGAUGCGUAGCCGACCUGAGAGGGUGGUCGGCCACACUGGAACUGAGACUGGGACCAGACUCCUACGGGAGGCAGCAGUAGAGAAUCUUCCGCAAUGGGCGAGAGCCUAACGGAACAACGCCGCGUGAGUGAUGAAGGUCUUCGGAUCGUAAAGCUCUGUUAUUAGGGAAGAACAAAUGUGUAAGUAACUAUGCACGUAUUGACGGUACCUGAUCAAAAAGCCACGGCUAACUACGUG